RNAcentral lists this ribosomal RNA (386 nucleotides) under uncultured bacterium. Its description in RNAcentral is "bacterial SSU rRNA". It matches the Rfam family "Bacterial small subunit ribosomal RNA", at positions 28 to 417 of the family's 1533-position model. The record is from RNAcentral.
GACGAACGCUGGCGGCGUGCUUAACACAUGCAAGUCGAACGGUAAGGCCCUUCGGGGUACACGAGUGGCGAACGGGUGAGUAACAACGUGGGUGAUCUGCCCUGCACUUCGGGAUAAGCCUGGGAAACUGGGUCUAAUACCGGAUAGGACCAAUGGACUUCACGGUUUGUGGUGGAAAGCUUUUGCGGUGUGGGAUGGGCCCGCGGCCUAUCAGCUUGUUGGUGGGGUAAUGGCCUACCAAGGCGACGACGGGUAGCCGGCCUGAGAGGGUGUCCGGCCACACUGGGACUGAGAUACGGCCCAGACUCCUACGGGAGGCAGCAGUGGGAAUAUUGCACAAUGGGCGCAAGCCUGAUGCAGCGACGCCGCGUGAGGGAUGACGGCCU